GCCAAGAGUGCAACUACAGGCGUAUAAAAAUUGUCAUCAAAGGGUUUUGUUUCCGCUUGAGAAAUACUGUCUGCAUUUUGGAAAGAUCUUGUGAACCCCGUGACAGUUUGCUUGGGCCAAGGUGUUGUUCUGUCACUGGGACCGGCGGCACACAAGGAAGGCACACUGAAGGAGACCAAAGUACAACAAACAGGAUACCGUCCGCCAUUCCUCCUGGAAGUCAUCUGUGGAAAAGGCUGUUUUUCCUCACAUAAUAAUGAAACUAAGGAUUCAAAAGACAAAAAGUGGUGCAGAGAGGGAGUCUCUUUAAGUGGGAUGUUUUUCCUCUAUUUGAGCACCAAGGAAGGGGACAAGGGUAGGGAGCAAAGCUACUUAGGAAAGGAUCAUAAACCAGGUCAUGCUGUGUUACAGUAUGGUUAUUUGUGACACACUGUGUUCUCUGGUGUCUUGUAAAACUCACUAUGCUUUUUUCUCAUUUUUUCACUAAAGACCAUGAAAUUUUUAGUAUAUAAAAUAAAUGAAAGAGAAAUUCAAAACUGAUAAGCUAACUGAGUCAAGUGUAGUGCUAUUAGUAGAUAAUACACAGGACAACUUUCUUUGUGUGUAGAAAAUUGACAGAAUAUAGUUUUUUUUCUUUUUUUAACCCAAAAAAUUAUAAUCUAUUUCUAUGUGGGCAAGUCAUUUCUUUAACUCAAGCCUAAACUGCUUUGCAAAUUUGUAAUUUAAAAAGAUGCACUCAUUAACUCCAGUUCUUUGUAACUUUCAAUGCCUUCAAAGCUUCCUUACAUCCUACCACAUGCAAAUGGCAAAAUAAAAAAUAUAUAAGUAACAUGGGUGAGAUUUAUGAAUACUUGUUUGCUUACAGAAUAGAGACAUUAAGUCACCACAAUUUGUAAAGCAAGUGGUACUAUAAAUUCAAGAAAUAUACAAAUUUUUAUUAUAUAUUCAAGCAAAGGUAGAAAGAUAAAAUCCUCCCAAAAGGAUUUAAUGAAGCUACCAUCAAAGACAGAAAGAAGUCUUGGGAAAGAAAUACUAAAGAGAAACAUUUUGAGUAUAUAGCAACUAUAAAAAAUUAUAAAUAAAAAUCAAAAUAUUUGUAAAUAUUUAAUAUAUGUGUAUGUUUUAAAUAUGCAUCCAUACAUAUAUGUGUAUGUAUAUGCCCACGUUUAUUUUCAUCCUUUUUAAUGACUUUCAGUUUGAGAGCAACUGGCUUUCUCAAAUGUUGGUGGAAGAAUAAAUUGAUAUGAACUCUAUGGACUAGAGUUUGUCAAUAUAUGUAAUUCCAGAUAAAUGACCAUAUGGAUCAAUAGCUUUCCUCUUUUCUUAUAAAUAAUGGAAAUAUAUUCAUUACAUAGCGAUGAGCAUAUUCAUUGCACUAUUUUUUAUGUUAGUAAAGGAUUGAAAUAACCUCUAUGUCCUCCCCAAAUGAAUAGUGAAAUAGAUCAUAAUAUAGCAUUUUCAUGAAAUUCUGCAGCUGAUAAACUGAAUUCAAGGCAAUUUAGAUUUGUACGCAUAUGAAAAAAUACCCAAUAUACCUUGUUAAUUAAAAGACAGUGCAUCAGACUACACAGCUUCCAAUUCUUUGUGAAAAAUGCAAUUAUGUAAUAUGGAAAUAAAGACAGUAUUUCCAAAAGACAAUAUUAAUACUAUUUUCUCAUUGAAAUCCAUGUGUGAGAGUUGGAGAUGGAAUGUUAAUCGCGCAUUUUUAUUUUUUGUAUUUUAGAGCUCUGAGAUCUGGGACUUUGCCCACUCUGAAAAGACUGCUCCUUUCAAAGCAAUGAAUUCUGGGAGAUGGAAAAUGGCCUGUUGGUUCUUAGCUGGAAUGGAUCCUUGAAAUGAAAAACACUGAAAAAAGGAAAACAGAAUUCUAUCAGCAUAUGAACUUCUCAUAUACAAGGGAGAAACCUAGGGGAUUCAAAGUCAUCAAAAACGAGGCUUGGAAUUUUAGCUGUUCUGAAACAACUCUGUGGAAGUUAAUAAAUUCACUUCAAAGGUGAGGAACAGAUGCUGAACAGAGAAGAUUCUUGCCAUGUUGGUGCUCACGAGCAGGCUGAGAAUUACCUUUAAUUUGAACAAUUAAUAUAUUCAUCCAACAAAUACUUCUGUACACCAUCCUGUGGAUUUGCUGGCAUGGUAAAUAAUGAAUUUUGCACUUCAUCUACAUUCUCUCAUUUUGUAGAAAAAAUAUAAUUUUUGAAAAAAUAUAUAAUGAAAUCGAAUAAUACUUCAUGGUGUUGUACUUCACCCAUCUCCAGGGGUUGGACAUGGCUUUUCCAUCCCAACUGAAGGAGUUCCACCUUCCUUCUACAUAGGGUGCUCCAAGCAGGAGCUGAUAGUACCGGCCCAGACAGACCUCCACCGUGAUUGGUUCAGAGUUGAGUCAAUGAGAAGGUGACCAAUCAGGACUGAUACAAUGAAUUUUCCUCUCUUGAGUAAGGAAGAGAUUCUUAGACUCUCACUGAACCUGAACAGAGAACUGUAUCUUUGACAGUGGGCCUGAUGUUAACCAUCAAUGGAACCAAAGACAAACAAGAUGACAGUAAGAAGCGAGAGCACUGAAUAAGAAUGAAACCAGUCCUUAGAUGUCCCCAGAGGAGCCGCGUGCAUUACUUCUAAAUAUGCACAUCACGCCAGCUAGGUCAUUCCCUGCACUCUCUAAGCCACUAUCUACUGCAUUUCCUCUACUUUCAAUUUAGAGACAACUAUAAAUUCCAAUAUUAGGUUAUCACCUCCACCUAAAAAUUCCUUAAUCUGGUACACAAAGGCAAGUACAAACACGGUCUAAUUUCUAGCCCAGACAUUUUUAAUUUAUAAAGAUGGAAGGUUUGAUGUUGUUUUAGUGACUUUAUUUAGCCAUGUACUCUUUAUUGAUAUUUUUUUCUGACUCCUUGCAGUACCAGAUAUAAAAAGCAGCAGGUUUUCUCAAAUGAGAUUGUUGUAGGUGUUGAUGAAUUUUCCAAAUGUCCAUUUUGCUGGAAUUAAGGAACAGAAAUAGAUAUAGGCAGGACAUCAUUUUCUGCCCAUCACUUUCAGAGAUCUCAGAGGAAAACUCCUCACUCAAGACAGUUCUCAGCCUGAAAAUUACUAUCCAGAGCUGAGGAUAGUUGUUUGGAUGAAUGACAAAAUUAAUACAUAAUGCAGAUUUGGUCACAUUGAGAAGAAAAUCCAUGGAUAAGUUUUGCUGGGCUGAACAAAAUGCAUAAGUGUCCUAAAGUCUGGCUUCAUCACCAGAAGGAUAAAGGCUCACAAAUGCAAAGCAGAUGUGACAUAUGUCAGAUCAACUCCUGGACAGGCAUGAGAGUGGAGCCCCAAAUCUACAAAACGUUGGGCUACAAGAAAGAAACUCUCAGGUAAGAGCAUUAUACUUGCUUGACAGAAUGAUAUCCACACUCUGAAGGACAUCCAUGCUCUGACCCAGUGCCCGUGACUUCACUCACUCAUGUGGUAAAAUGAACUGUGCAGAUUUGAUGAGGAGAAGGCCCUGACAUCAGUGAUUUGGGAUCAGACCGGGGUGGACCAAAUGCAAUCACAAUCACCUAAUAAAAUGAAUGCAUGUACGAUCCAUGUCACAAAGGCAGGUGGAUGGACAGGAGCAGCAGUUAUAGUCAGACAGAAUAGAAGCUGGCCUGAUUGAAGAGAGAGGCAGUGUCCAAAUGGAAAAAAAAAAUGGGGGAACCUCUGGAAGUUUGAAGACUCAAGGAAGUUGAUUGCCUUCUGGGUUCUCCACAAAGGACUGCAGCCCCUGCUGGACCUUGAUUUUAGCCCAGUGAGACCAAUUUUAACUCUUGACUUCUGGGGCUGUAAGACUUUAGAUCUGCAUUGUGUUCCUCCAGUAAGUUUGUUUUGAUUGGUCAGCAUCAAGAGGGACCUUAGAGCAUCACCCUGACAUACACUUGUAGAGCUACCUUUAUUAAGUUGGUCUGUAUAUUGUGGAUUUCAGCUUCAGGCCAUAUUUUUCUUCUUACAUGUGACUAAUUGUCCAAAAUAAAAAUGUCAAAGACAUUAUUUUUAGACUAGAAAGCAUUAAGUGUGGUACAAUAGUUAAAGGCUAACCUGGUGCACAGUUAUAGUCAAUUUAGUGAGUUUAUGAAUGUGUCAUAUGCUGACUUCAAUCCAUGGUCCCCAGAUCGUAGUCAAUUAUUACAUCAUGAGGGGAGCCCAUGCUCCCUCCCCUGGGUAGGGGUGUGAUUGCUUCAUCAAUAGAGUAUAAUAAAACUGAACUCUGGAGCAAUGUGUGGGUGAGCUGAUGAGGCUGAUAGUUUCUACUUCCUGUAUUUUAGGACAUCUCUUUUGGAAAUCACCUCCCAUGCAAUGAGGAACCAAUCCAGGCAAAAGGCCAAGUGGGAAGGAAUCUACAGGUGGUAUUAGGCAGCCAUCUUGGGAGUGAUUCAGUUUGAAACUGACUUUUUGAAGCCAGCUGGGCAACAUCCAAAUGCUGCAGCUCAGAGCACAGAGGAGCGGUCUCCGUCCAUCACUCCCAUCCAAAUUCAGAUUCAUGAAUAACAACAAUAACCAGAAACAAUAGCUGUGCCACCAAGCCAUUACAUAAAAGUACAUUUCAAAUAAAGCAGCAGUGAAGCAGAGCAUAUCAUACACAUUUACCUCUGCACUGAGAUAUGUCACGUCAUCAAAGAGUUUCUGCACUGAAUGGAAAAUAUUUAAAUAACUUUAUUUUGAAUUUACAUAAAAUAUUCGAAAAAUGCCACUAAUUCUUUUAAUGAUUUAAAUACAGAAAGUGUCAGUGGCAUUUAGCAGAAGCCGGUGUCUGGGAGAUGGUGGUGCAGUAUGUCACAGCAUGUGUCAGUCGCCAAAGGGACUUAGAAAGUGCAGCUUGGACAUACACAUGCGUUUCCCACCUGUUACAUAGUUCAGUACACACAAAACCAAAAAUGUCCAUCUGUGUCGCCCUAAUAAAAUGCAUCCUUAGAAUAUGUCUGAGGUUACACUGAAGUCAACAGUUCUGCAAAUGUUCAGUCCUAUCAGUUCUUUCUAUCACCUCUUACUGUGUCUCAGUUGUCUCCAAAAAGAAAACAUGCAUACAUUUAUUUAUUUAUUUAUUUCAGGAUAUCCAUAGUUAAUUCACUUGUUAUUUCAGAUUGUGCAAAAUAAACAUAAAAGUACAACUAAUAAGAGAUGCUGCUCUCUCCCAUGACUGUCAUUUUAGAUUUACUGCAUUCAUAGGUCUUGAAUCCUAUAGCGUAGCUUUCCCCUAAAACACCUUCCAUAGCCCUGCAACAUUAAUGAGUAUGCUCUAGUAAUUACACAAGCUUGAAAUUUCAUAAAAACCUUUCUCAGAUCUGUUUCCUUCACUCAGAAGCAGAAAAACAGAAACUAAAAUAAGAACAACUCAAUUUGUCACCUUGUCACAUCUUAGUUUCAGGUUGGAGAUACAAUCUUUGUCCCAAAUUUUUCUUCUCACUGUUGCUUUUGAGUGAGUUCUGUGGAGUCUUUCAUUCACUGAAAUUUGACUGUAUUUUAAACUAAAGAUUUGAAAAUUUUUCACAUUCAGUACUUAUAUCUUUUAUAAAGUUUGUAUCAUGCUCAGACUGAAGUUGCUUUGAUGAGGAUCAUUGAUCCUUACAUUAUUAAGAAUCACAGCUGCUCUAGUACUUCAUGUCCAGAUACAGAUUAUUUUAAGAUUUAAGCAAUUUUAAUCAUGGCUAUGACAUUGCAGCUAUGACAAGCACAUAGUUCAGAGAAUUGGAAAAUUACCACAAUUUUAUUUCUUUGUUAAAUAUCAAAUUCUUUGAGGAAAAGAAUAUUUCAGACCUAGCAUAAAUAGAAAGGCUCCAAAUAUCACACAUGAGAAUAUUUUAAUUAUUACUGAUCUUGGUAUAGAAUUGGCUGAGGAUAAAGAUGAUUACCCUCCCUGCGGGUGGACAGCCUAGAGAUCAGUCUUUCUGUUCUCCAUUUCUCUAAGUAACAGAUUCUUGAAGGUAAAUUCCACCCAAUUUUUUUUUACCAUGUUGAGUCAUGUUAAUAUAUCCAAAAACUGAAUGCUAACGCUCUGCUCUCUACUGAUGUAGAGAGCUGGAAAAGGAUGAAGGCAAUUAUUACAGAAAACAGAAGCAGACACUAGACAUGUCCUUUAUCCUCCAAGGGUAGGAGGUACUGAUAGACUUUAAAAACCUGAUUUCCACAUGCGAUAAAGGCUAGAAAUUCAGUCAGUGCCUUAUAAUUAAGUGACUUGGUCCUAAAUUUUGAGAUUAUCCACAUUAAACACAAGUAUUCUUGCACAAAUAAUUAUUUACAACAGUUUCAAAUUACUUCAUCUAAGAAUAUUGCUUAAUUUCAAGGAGUUUAAUGACUGAUUGCCUUGCAACUCUGACAGAUUAAAAAAAUAUUUAAAUACUAAGUAUAGUUAGCACUACAUAUUUCUGGCUCCACAUCCAAAGGUUGAAAGGAAAAGGAAUGGAAAUAUUCAGAAAAAAUUGUGUCAUUACUGAACAAAUAUAAACUUUUUUCUCAUCAUCCUUAUUUCCUAAAUAUAAGGUAUGAAAUUGUGUAUAUAGCACCUACAUUGUUUUAAGCUUCGUAAAUAAUCUAGAAAUGAUCUAAAGUACACAGGAACAUGCAUACCUGUUCUACAUGAUAGUAUUUUAUUUUAUAUAAGGGACUGGAGUACCUUUAGAUUUUGAUAUUCACAUGCAUCCUGGAACCAGUUCAUUAUAGAGACCAAGACACAAUUAUAUGUUUAAAAAUUUAGCUUUUAUUAAGUGUGUUUAAAGUAAUUACAAAUUGUGAUAGAUGUUUUUUGAUGUUUAUCGAGGGUUUAGGAAAAUUUAGUCAAGAAUAAUUAUUUUUAGAAGAUCUGACCUAACUCAUGCAACUUUUCCUAAUUUGGGAAGAGAGAGCAGGAACAAGUUGGCACAUAAAAAUUUUAUUUUUGCAUACAUUCUGGAAAUAUAUCCAUGAGUUACACUAC
Chinchilla lanigera (long-tailed chinchilla) is the source of this 6925-nucleotide long non-coding RNA. RefSeq lists it as uncharacterized. The transcript has 4 exons. NCBI's taxonomy places the organism in Eukaryota, Metazoa, Chordata, Mammalia, Rodentia, Chinchillidae. The record is from RefSeq and is a predicted model, not a curated record.